GAGCAUGUCAGCUGAGGACUCUCCCUCAUCAGACUGCCCUGUGAGCAUGUCAGCUGAGGACUCUCCCCCAUCAGACUUCCCUGUGAGCAUGUCAGCUGAGGAACUUCCCCCAUCAGACUUCCCUGUGAGCAUGUCAGCUGAGGACUUUCCCUCAUCAGACUGCCCUGUGAACAGCCCCCUCCCUCCUCUCCUCCCAGUCCUAGCCUCACACCCCCUCCCCCUAUUCCACCAUUCCCUUCUGAGAAGAGGAGUUCCUCCUAUGGUUGCCAACACACACAGCUCUCCCUGGCCCAUCAAGCCGCAGCAGGAUUAAGUGUAUCCUUUCCCAUUGAGGCCAGACAAGGAAGCCACCUUCUGUGUGUUCUGGGAGCCAAACCCAGGUCUCUGCAAUUAUAAUACAUCUGCCUUUCCAAAGCACCCAAAAUCCCAGCAUGGCGAGGUAGGAUGUGCACGAAGUCCCUUAGCUAAGGAGCUACUGGGAACUGAAGACUUCUGGGAAGGGGAGAGUCAGUUUUCUUUAAGAGUGCAGCACCUGGUGGGUCGGCAACUCUCCACAGCUCAAUUUUUAGUAGCUACAGGACUACUUGUAUUGUUUUA
Molecule: long non-coding RNA, 597 nt
Organism: Mus musculus (house mouse)
Lineage: Eukaryota; Metazoa; Chordata; Mammalia; Rodentia; Muridae
Product: predicted gene, 39430
Exons: 3
Source: RefSeq, a predicted model, not a curated record